RNAcentral lists this ribosomal RNA (424 nucleotides) under Verrucomicrobiota bacterium. RNAcentral describes it as "Verrucomicrobia bacterium partial 16S ribosomal RNA". It matches the Rfam family "Bacterial small subunit ribosomal RNA", at positions 355 to 776 of the family's 1533-position model. Lineage: Bacteria; Pseudomonadati; Verrucomicrobiota. The record is from RNAcentral.
UGAGGAAUAUUGGUCAAUGGACGCAAGUCUGAACCAGCCAAGUAGCGUGCAGGAUGACGGCCCUAUGGGUUGUAAACUGCUUUUAUAUGGGGAUAAAGUGGGGAACGUGUUCCCUUUUGCAGGUACCAUAUGAAUAAGCGCCGGCUAACUACGUGCCAGCAGCCGCGGUAAUACGUAGGGCGCAAGCGUUAUCCGGAAUUAUUGGGCGUAAAGAGCUUGUAGGCGGUUCGUCGCGUCUGGUGUGAAAGCCCAUCGCUUAACGGUGGGUUUGCGCCGGGUACGGGCGGGCUAGAGUGCAGUAGGGGAGACUGGAAUUCCCGGUGUAACGGUGGAAUGUGUAGAUAUCGGGAAGAACACCAAUGGCGAAGGCAGGUCUCUGGGCUGUUACUGACGCUGAGAAGCGAAAGCGUGGGGAGCGAACAGG